AUGAAUAAAGACGGUCUCCCGGCUAGGUUCUUCCAACAGAAUUGGGCCGUGCUGAAAUCUGAAAUUAUUGCUGCUGUUUUGGAGUUCUUUAAGUCAGGAAUAAUGCCUGACGGGGUAAACGACACGGCUAUUGUUUUUAUCCCAAAAAUUCCUUUCCCAAUGGAACUCAAGGAUUUUAGACCGAUAAGCCUAUGUAACGUCAUUUACAAGAUUGUUUCAAAAUGUUUGGUGAACAGGCUAAGGCCGAUGCUUGUGGAGUUAAUUUCAGAGAAUCAGAGUGCCUUUAUCCUAGGAAGGCUUAUCUCUGACAAUUUUAUAAUUGCUUUUGAAUGUCUUCAUCAUAUACCGUCGCUGAAACAAAACAGGCCGGCGGCGUGUGCUUACAAGCUUGAUUUGUCAAAGGCAUAUGAUCGUGUUGACUAG
RNAcentral lists this ribosomal RNA (423 nucleotides) under Triticum aestivum (bread wheat). Its description in RNAcentral is "partial small subunit ribosomal RNA". Lineage: Eukaryota; Viridiplantae; Streptophyta; Magnoliopsida; Poales; Poaceae. The record is from RNAcentral.